This is a long non-coding RNA of Alligator sinensis (Chinese alligator), 6338 nucleotides long. RefSeq lists it as uncharacterized. The record is from RefSeq and is a predicted model, not a curated record. NCBI's taxonomy places the organism in Eukaryota, Metazoa, Chordata, Crocodylia, Alligatoridae. The transcript has 5 exons.
CAGAGAGGUUGGGGAUGCUCCAUCCUUGGAGGUGUUUUAGACCCAGGUAGACAAAGCCUUGGCUGGGAUGAUGUAGUUGGAGCAGGGGCUUGGACUAGACGUGAGGUCUCUUCCAACCCUCGUUGUCUAUGAUGCUUCUGUUAGUGGGGGUUUAUGGGCUAAUUCUAGAAAAAAGACUUCAGUAAAAUUUAUUUUACAUCAGUAGGAUUGAACAAAUACAGAAGUCCACUGUGCGAGCCUCCCCCUCCAUAGGGCAUAACUGCUGAUCUCUGUUGUGCCAGACGGCCCUUCCCGAGGGCGCUUUUCAAAGUCAGCAAAGCAGCAAGACAGCUCUGGUCAUCAAAACCAUUUCUUCCCUGCAUUAUGAGGCCUCCAGUAGGGCCAUUUUGCUGCUAAUCACCUUGGUUUUUAAUUAGAGCCUUUUAUUGAUUUGUUUGCAAGUUUAUGGCUUUGGGAGAAAUCCUCAGCUGGAGAUGCCUCUGUGGGCAUUUGUGCUGGAGCAGCAGGGUCCUUUAUCAGGCUACAGCUCUAAUCUGGCUUUAGAAAAAAACCCUCUUUGCUGCUGCAAGGCAUUGUGUGUGGGGGUGAAUGCUGGAGCUUUGCCUUCCUGUGGCCACAUCCUGCUUGCCACUCCACCGGCAUUAAAGUCCAGAUCCCCGCCGUGCCGUCCUGCCCCAUCACCUUCUGAAGCUUGUGCAUUAGACAGACCCGAGUCUAGACCAAGAACUGGGAAGUUGCCAGAGCAGGACGGGAACAUGAGUCGAAUGUAUUAGUUGCCUGCAGUCCAGCCAGCUUACGUGGACAGGAAGGCACUUGCAGUAUCUGGCCCAUGCUGGCCGUCGGCACCCCCACGAUGACGUACCGAAAGGCCCUGCAGUUGCGGGCUAAAGCGCAAUCGGUAAUGGGAGGUGUGCUAUGGGGGGUUGGACUGGUGUACCGGUUCAGCUGGUGGCAAUGCCUGCAAGGUCAUGUUGCCCGAUACAUUUAAUUUGCCCCUGUUUUGUAGGCCCCUCUCCUUCCCCAGGCUCUGAAGUGUUUGGGCUGAGCUUUCCCCAUGCCAGGGGGCUGAACUUUCCUUCUGCAUUGGCCUGAAUUUUUUUUUUACCCCCAGAGUUUUGUGUUUUUUCCCCACCCAAAAUGGUUCACCUCCUUCCAAAAACAAGGCGCGGGGGGAAUACAGUGUUUGACCCCUUUUUAAAGCACUUCCCACGGCCUCUCUGAGGCACUGCAGCUCCUUGAUACGCUGGAGACAAGAUUUUGGAGCUGGGUAUCGUGUUGCCAUGGUGUCAGAGAAGUACCUUCUGCUCUUUUCAUGUAUGCUUAACAGAAGGAUGGCGGCACUCAUUCUGCUCCGGUCCCCAGCUGCGCAGCCCAGGCCGCUGCGGUGCCGUGCGUAGGGAGGUGGUUUCUCCUCGGCCCCUCCUGCUGCAGUGGAGUAAGGAGAGAUGAAGACAGGCUGGGGAGGGAGGACAGGUUGCAGAGAGUCUCCUGGGGGGUGGGAUCUGAGGGGUCCCAGAGCGAAGCUGGGGGUGCACGGGGAGGAGGGGUCGGGGACACCCCAGGGGCAAGGCUGCAGGGCGGUGGGGAAAAGGAACAUGCAACAUGCUCAUCUUCAGAUGGAGGAAGGGAACUCAAGGCUCCUAAGUCUCCUCCGGUGCAACCGGCUGGCAGAUGCACAGUUCAAUGCAUGCCAACCUGCUGCUGCUGCCAGUUCCCCCGUGCCCUCGAGGGGCGGAGGGCUGCACUGGAGGUGUCAAGAUCCUGACGUGCCAAGGACCAUGUGGGGGUAGGAUGGCUUCCUGCUUUCUCAUUUUCCAAACAAAUUAAUUGGUUUUCUCUUAAAAACAGAAAGGAAAAAAAAAAAAAAAAAGACUCUCCAAAAGAGAGCUUCCGAUGGAGAGACCCUCUUGCGAACAUUACGGAGAUGGUGAAGACGCACGAGACUUCAAGCGACCCACGUCACCUCCAUUCUGCUGCUUCGUGCGUACGUGUUAUGACACAGUCUUUUGCGUCUUCACUCGCUGUUUUGUUCCUGGAGAACGCUUGCUUUGUUCAAUGCAGAGAGUGGCUUUUGCUCAGGGAAUGAGUCAGUGCUGAGCGGUGAAGGAUGCUGCUGCCUCUGACCUUACCCUGCUUGUUGCAUCAGUCGAGAGGUCUGCAUCCACUGAAGCAGCAGGCUGCAGGGGUGAAAAGGAAGAUCUUGUAGUUUGGACAGAUAAAUGCUGGCCUGGAGCACUGUAUUCUCUCUUUGUCUCCACCACAGAUCUCUUGCGUGAUGUUAGGCAAGUCACUUAAACCUAAAUUUUCAGAGAUGGCCACUGAUAGGCUGUGCUCCUCUGCUUCUGCCCAGUUUGAGAUGCUUUGGCCACGCAAAGGGCUAGAUAAGUACUCUGACAAAGCUGGUCCUGGAUGUUUCAAACUGGGCUCCCACCAUAAGCCGAGACUAGGGCAAUUUGAGCCUCUCUCUCUUUGUGCCUCAGUUCCUCGCCUGUAAAAUGAAGGCGGUCUGACCGCUCUCCCAGGGCUGGUGUGAUGAAAAGUUAGUUAACAUCUGCAUCGGGGUGACGAGCGCCCCAGAAGAUCCCACGAGGAGAUGAGUCACUCGGCACGCAGAGCCGCACUUGGAGGGUGUGCUGCAAAGGUGGCACGGGGCCAAGCAGUAACGAGGAGUACAAAAAAGAAAUAAUGAGCUGCUACUUGCUGUCUGAUUGCUGUCCAUCCUGUGCCCUGCCGGAGGCGCAGGGAAAGCAGUGCGACAUCAUCUGUGCCAAACCGUGUCGGCACAAGCACAGACGGCCUCGAAGUCUGGCGUUUUCUAGCUUCUGAGUUUGGAACCUUUCAUGUUUUAUGGAAUUGUAGGCUGUUCCUUGCAUUGAUUUAGCAAUUUGCAAAAUGAAUUGUUAUUUUAUUUUUUUUGCAAUCAUUAAAUGAAUGGGGGCGGGGGGGGAGUUUCAGGUGUUUUUAUCCCUGUUCCAUAUGAAUAAAUCAGGAGAUGGAGAGAGCACGUGACCUCCAGUAACUUGGCCAACGGCAUGCGGGUAGGCAGGGACUGACCAAAUCCCCUUGCACGUGGAGACACAGACUUGGGAGUCCUUCCUCAUAUCAUCCCGGCUGCACACAUCUCUGCAAGCCUCUAGCCAGGCACUCUGCAACCUCGGAGCUGAGCAAUGGCAAAGUUAAGAGAGGUCAGCUGAAGGGCAGAUGCUGAAGGAUCUUGCCUGCUGCAUGAGGAGCUGAGAGCGGAACGGGGACGACCACAUUUUCAGCCCCUUCCCUAACGACGGCGCUUCCCAAGGAAACUGAGCUCCAAAUGCCGGAUCUCCGUGCGUAGUUUUAUGUUAAAGAAACAUUCCAGUUCUCACCUAGAAAUCACAACGGAAGUCAGAAGCACCCGCAGGAUUAGCAACCUGGAGCAUAACCACCUGCAAACCGGUUCACGGCAAGUCAGGAUAUAAAUAUGGAUCUCAAACCCCACCGUCGUUGGGAAUAGAGCCCUGCUCCAAAGUUGAGUUUGCAUCAGGCUUGAUGAGAUUAACAUGUGCGGCGAGUGAACAAACACCAGGAGGUGAUGGGGGAGAAGGUGUAGGAGCACGGGUCAUGGGACGGUGCUUACAGAGGUGCUGGUAUGGCAAAGAUUCGAACACGUGUAUAACCUGUUGUGCUGCGAGAAUCCCCAAAGCCUGCUAGGCCUCAGCUUCAAGAGCAUGACCCUCCAAGGAUCGCCCUCGGCAUGUCUGAGCUCUUGGCUCGUUAGGCUAAUCCUGCAGUUCAGUGCUGAGUCCUUUCCGCAGCAAAUUGUAAGCAGCUUUGCUCCAGUUGCAUGUAAGAAAGCAUUCUGGACUUCUUGACUCUUUCUUUAAAUCCCACAGUGAAAUCAAAAGUCUCCAGCAUGUGUUCCCACUCCAGCAUGCAGAGAUAGGUCUUAAAUUACUGUGUCUCUGCGAGCUCCAGGGGAAAGCGUAUGUACUGCGCUUCCCUCGGAGUCCUGCGAAGGAACAAGUGAAAGGACUUGUGCGGCACAUCCAAUUUACCAUUGCUCAGCGUCUGCAAAUUGUUUCUUUCCUUCCGACGCGAAGGAGCGUGUCGUGCAAAGAGGCAGAGCAGCGCCAUGGGAUGUUGUGAGAGUAAAUAUUGUUUUUGGUUGUAAGGUGACAAAGCAACCAGCUCUGAGCCUGACUGUGCCCCGAGAGGCUGUACAACCUUGCCCCAUAACUCGGACUCAGGAAGUCUUACCAAGCCCCAGCACCAACCUGGGAGCUCCUUCCAGCUCCGGUCCUAAUUCUGUGCCAGCCCAGCCCGGCUUCUCACCCGCAGCGAAGCGGCCUGCUGGGUCCUCAACGCUGCGAUGCCCUUUUUGUAAUGUUGUUGUUCUCUCCUUUCCCGGAGGAAUUCAGCCAUUCAUCUUUUUCUUGCCCUUUGUCUGGUGUCGGAGCUGUGAUUUUUUUUCUUUUUUUUUUUUGUUUGCACUGACCAUUUCAGUUGCACAACUGGCUCCUUCUGAGAGAUCUGUGAUGCAUUUGCACAGGACAGAGGCUCAGCCCGUGGCAAUCUCAUCAGCGUACACUAAAUUCAUUUAGGAGAGUCCGUAUGGAGGGAGAAGAGGAGGACGAGAAGCUGAGAGAGAGACAAAGUCUACUACAGGCCUAGCAAGAGCCGUAAACCCACGAGCCUUCACGUGGGAGCCAGCGGUCGAAGCGCGCUGGGGCACAGGACGGAUGUCUGUCAUGCUGGACAGAUGAGGAUGGUGAGGUGUUCCUGCCGGGAAACGUGCCAUAAAAGCAUGCAAGAUGGCUGUUAACGUGUGCACCUAGACCACCCUCCAAGGAAAUGCAGUCGGGGUUAGGGAGUUACAGUUUCUUCAGAGCUCUGCAGUCUUACAAAGGCACAGUUCGGUAUCCCUGAGGUUGCAAGGAUCUUGAUGCCUGGUCUACAUCUGCAAGCAACGGCAGGCUUGGGAAUCUGCAUUGCUCCGCUGCAGAAAGCAGAGCUAGAGCUGCCAGGCCGCUGGGCUCGGUGGGAAAGGACCUGCUGACAGGUCAAUGGAGCCGGCAGUGUGGAGGAGGCCCUGGAGCACGCCUCAUCCCGACUCAGAGCGUGGUCCUCUCUCUCCACAUGCAACUGCGUUGGGAAGGAGAGCUUCAUUUCAAGAGCUUUCAUCAUUCAGAGGUGGCUGCUAAAAGAUAAUCCAGGGCUUGGGACGGACAUCUGUAGUCUUGGAAAUAAAAUUGGGUCGCAGGUUUGCAGGACGUCAGAGCUGUUGACUUGGGAACGCAGGACACCUGGGGCAGAGGGAAGCAGAAUUCGUGCCUUGUUUGCUGGUCAAGGAAUAUGCUUUGGGAGCUGAAGGGUUUUCCUGGGACCUGCCAGGAGGAGAAACUUGCAGCCCAGGCCCUUUCCUACCUAUUCGUUGAAGAGGCGUUGUCAAAAUGAGCUUUCUCUACUACACUUCUGUGCACCGCCUGCUUCUCAGCAUCUUCUGGCCACCAUGUCCUGCUCCUCCUCCUCCAACUGGUUGUCCCUGGCCCUCCUGGCUUUGUGACAUCUGCUCCCAGGGGGCUAGAGGUCCCCCCAGCCCUCUUCUUUCAUCCACAGCGUUGCUGCUCCCUGGGCUCUCUCUCCACCCUGCAGCCUCCCUAGCAGUCUCUAGCAGCUCCUCUUGCACCCGAGGUUAUUUUGCUUGCAGCUGCUCUCUCCCAAGUGCAAACCUUUCCAUGCUUUUGCAUUAAAGGGUGAGUCUUGGAUCAGCAUCUCAGGGCUGCGACUCCCUCUGCUCCCUUUUCAUCCAGCCCAGGUGGGCCCGGACCUGCCGCCUUGGCCCAUCACCUCUACUACCGGUGCAUUUACUGAUCACGGUGACUUGCCCCGAGCAGCUUCCUAGCCGGGAACACAGCAUUACUCAUUGCAGGGGGUGCCACAGCCCAGGUUGGGGUCACCUGCAGGCAAUGUGCUUUUACCUCAACUCCUGGUGGGGGAGGACAGAGCCUCAGGGCUUCUUUUUAUGUUAAGCCUUUGUGCCUGCAUUGAAGGUCAUGAGGCAGGACCCCCCGCUGGAGGGUCUUGAGGAACCAAGCUGCUUUUCUAGAAACAGGAAGCCCCCCAGGAGUUUCUGGGGUUCCCAUGGCGUGAAGUCCUCCCCUCUGGGUCUAAGGAAAGCAGUGUCUGGAGGCUGGAGCCCUCUCUGGAGGGUCUCCUGCACCCUCUGUAGAGACCAAGCUGCAUCUUUGGAAGCAGAACGCCAAGAGGAAGCCCCCCGUGAUGUCCUGGGGUGCCUAUAGAGUAAAGCCCUCCCCUCUGGGUCUAAAGAAAGCAGUGUCUGGAGGCUAGAGCCCUCUCUGGAG